GGAGAGAUGGCUGAGUUGGUUGAUAGCCCCGGUCUUGAAAACCGGUAUAGUUCUUAACAAGGAACUAUCG
This 70-nucleotide transfer RNA is filed under the name Galeandra stangeana. Its description in RNAcentral is "tRNA-Ser". Lineage: Eukaryota; Viridiplantae; Streptophyta; Magnoliopsida; Asparagales; Orchidaceae. The record is from RNAcentral.